GACGAACGCUGGCGGCGUGCCUAAUACAUGCAAGUAGAACGCUGAAGAGAGGAGCUUGCUCUUCUUGGAUGAGUUGCGAACGGGUGAGUAACGCGUAGGUAACCUGCCUUGUAGCGGGGGAUAACUAUUGGAAACGAUAGCUAAUACCGCAUAACAAUGGAUGACACAUGUCAUUUAUUCGAAAGGGGCAAUUGCUCCACUACAAGAUGGACCUGCGUUGUAUUAGCUAGUAGGUGAGGUAACGGCUCACCUAGGCGACGAUACAUAGCCGACCUGAGAGGGUGAUCGGCCACACUGGGACUGAGACACGGCCCAGACUCCUACGGGAGGCAGCAGUAGGGAAUCUUCGGCAAUGGGGGCAACCCUGACCGAGCAACGCCGCGUGAGUGAAGAAGGUUCUCGGAUCGUAAAGCUCUGUUGUAAGAGAAGAACGAGUGUGAGAGUGGAAAGUUCACACUGUGACGGUAACUUACCAGAAA
RNAcentral lists this ribosomal RNA (479 nucleotides) under Streptococcus sp. oral taxon C65. Its description in RNAcentral is "bacterial SSU rRNA". It matches the Rfam family "Bacterial small subunit ribosomal RNA", at positions 28 to 489 of the family's 1533-position model. The record is from RNAcentral. Lineage: Bacteria; Bacillati; Bacillota; Bacilli; Lactobacillales; Streptococcaceae.